AUCUUCUUUGAAGGNAUGCUUAAGGAGGGGCUUGCGACACAUUAGUUAGUUGGCAGGGUAAAGGCCUACCAAGACUAUGAUGUGUAGCUGGACUGAGAGGUUGAACAGCCACAUUGGGACUGAGACACGGCCCAAACUCCUACGGGAGGCAGCAGUAGGGAAUUUUCGGCAAUGGAGGAAACUCUGACCGAGCAACGCCGCGUGAACGAUGAAGUACCUCGGUAUGUAAAGUUCUUUUAUUAAGGAAGAAAAAAGAGUGGAAAAACUCCCUUGACGGUACUUAAUGAAUAAGCCCCGGCUAAUUAUGUGCCAGCAGCCGCGGUAAUACAUAAGGGGCGAGCGUUAUCCGGAAUUAUUGGGCGUAAAGGGUGCGUAGGCGGUUUAAUAAGUCUAUAGUUUAAUUUCAGUGCUUAACGCUGUUGUGCUAUAGAAACUGUUUUACUAGAGUGAGAUAGAGGCAAGCGGAAUUCCAUGUGUAGCGGUAAAAUGCGUAAAUAUAUGGAGGAACACCAGAGGCGUAGGCGGCUUGCUGGGUCUUUACUGACGCUGNNGCACGAAAGCGUGGGGAGCAAACAGGAUUAGAUACCCUGGUAGUCCACGCCGUAAACGAUGAGUACUAAGUGUCGGGUAAAACUGGUACUGAAGUUAACACAUUAAGUACUCCGCCUGAGUAGUACGUACGCAAGUAUGAAACUUAAAGGAAUUGACGGGACUCCGCACAAGCGGUGGAUCAUGUUGUUUAAUUCGAA
This 749-nucleotide ribosomal RNA is filed under the name Candidatus Phytoplasma pruni. Its description in RNAcentral is "bacterial SSU rRNA". It matches the Rfam family "Bacterial small subunit ribosomal RNA", at positions 202 to 955 of the family's 1533-position model. The record is from RNAcentral. Lineage: Bacteria; Bacillati; Mycoplasmatota; Mollicutes; Acholeplasmatales; Acholeplasmataceae.